Acanthosepion pharaonis is the source of this 91-nucleotide non-coding RNA. Lineage: Eukaryota; Metazoa; Mollusca; Cephalopoda; Sepiida; Sepiidae. The record is from the annotation of a GenBank genome assembly.
AUCCCGCUGAAAACACCGGUUCUCGUUCGAUCACUGAUGUUAAGCCAUGUUCGGUUCGGUAAGUAAUUAGAUGGGAGACCGCUUUGGAAUC